AAAUUGGAUGUAGGUUUUGGUGUAGAAUUGGGGGAGAGAGGCCUAAUUUCAAUUUCAAUAGUAAUUGAGAAUUUUAAAUGAAUUGGGCGUGACCAAGAAAGAAUCCUACCCACCAUGUGCCUUAUCGCCUCUUCCUCCGCCGUCGCCGCCGCAUUCCCGCCAAAACCCCUCAUUUCACCACCACCACCACCAUCGAACGAUCAAAACCAUAAACUUCGUCGUUUUAGAAUCAAUAUCUUCCGCAGAGAAGCCAUUGCAGUCUCAUUCCUAGCUCUCGUCCCUUCCCUCCAUCAACCUUCCCCUGCAAUCGCAUUCUCUAUCGGCAUCUCAGGACCAAAAGAUUGGCUGAGAGAGCAAAAGAAGAAGUCUUCCAGGUUCGUCUUGGCUCCCAUCGACGCUUCCCGCAACACUCUCCGUGCUGCUUAUCUCUUACUAACAAAGGGCGAUUCUGAUUAUGGAGACAAAGACUUGGAAGAAGUUCAGAGGUUGCUCAGAUCUGCUACUAUGGAUUGCGUUCCGCAAGAGAGGAAUUCUUUUGUUACCUUUCAAGCUAAAACAGGAGUUGAGGUUUGUACAUUCCGCUUGGUUGUGAAGAAUGCAUCAUCAUUACUUGAUGACAAUGAUCCAAUAAAAUUGGAAGCUGAAGCUAGUCUUAGGGAUCUCGUAAGGUCAUUUACCUCUCUCAAUGCUGUGGCAAAUGAUACUGAUAUCCAAUUACCUUCCAGUAGGCAGAAGGUGGCAGAUGCACUCAUGGACACAAUUUCUUCCCUAAACAAAUUCGAGCAGGGAUAAUUGGGCUGAAUGAUCCAAUCGUUCACACAAGGAGUUUAUAUGCUGCUCUAACUAUCUCUUAAUAGCGUCAUAUGAUGUACCCAUGCUACAUUUUGGUGGCCUGUUAAAUUUCAUACUUGUAAAUGAAAUUGUAAUGCUGUCAUACCUGAUGUCAUGCUUUUGGUAGCCAGUUUUAUUUAUUUUUUGAAUCGUGAAUGUUGAUAUGUGGUAAAAAUAGAUGAUAAUAUCUGACCAAAAAAAACAGCAUGAGGCAGUUGUAAGAUGUAUUUGCAACAAGGAAUGUCCCAAUGUGCACCUUCUUACUAAAAUAUGGUGGGAAUUGACUUCUCUAGGUGGAGGACGUGUAAACUACUGUUGUCUCCAAAACACUUAAAAGAACCUUAGCCGGGAUAAAUAUAAAUGAUCUGCCAUGACUUGGUUCAUAAUUUACGUCCAUAUUGUUUAGAGAGGAAGUGAAAGCCUUUGUACCAAUCCAAAACUUCUUCUGCUGUAGUUUGGCCUCUAGAUAUUUAGUGGAAAGAAACCUCCAUCAAAUAAGAAAGUGCAGAGGAUAUAAAUUAUUCUCUCUUGGAAGUA
This is a non-coding RNA of Camellia sinensis, 1368 nucleotides long. Lineage: Eukaryota; Viridiplantae; Streptophyta; Magnoliopsida; Ericales; Theaceae. The record is from RefSeq and is a predicted model, not a curated record.